This 232-nucleotide ribosomal RNA is filed under the name uncultured bacterium. RNAcentral's name for it is "partial 16S ribosomal RNA". It matches the Rfam family "Bacterial small subunit ribosomal RNA", at positions 118 to 348 of the family's 1533-position model. The record is from RNAcentral.
UGAGUAACCUGCCCUUCACUCUGGGAUACCUCCGGGGAAACCGGGGCUAAUACUGGAUAUGACUCGAACAGGCAUCUGUUUCGGGUGGAAAGAUUUAUUGGUGGAGGAUGGACUCGCGGCCUAUCAGCUAGUUGGUGAGGUAACGGCUCACCAAGGCGAUGAUCGGUAACUGGUCUGAGAGGACGACCAGUCACACUGGGACUGAGACACGGCCCAGACCUCCUACGGGAGG